GACGAACGCUGGCGGCGUGCCUAAUACAUGCAAGUCGAGCGGACGAAUCGAAAGCUUGCUUUUGAUUCGUUAGCGGCGGACGGGUGAGUAACACGUGGGCAACCUGCCCUGUAGACGGGGAUAACACCGAGAAAUCGGUGCUAAUACCGGAUAACACGAAAUGUCGCAUGACGUUUCGUUGAAAGACGGCGCAAGCUGUCGCUACAGGAUGGGCCCGCGGCGCAUUAGCUAGUUGGUGAGGUAACGGCUUACCAAGGCGACGAUGCGUAGCCGACCUGAGAGGGUGAUCGGCCACACUGGGACUGAGACACGGCCCAGACUCCUACGGGAGGCAGCAGUAGGGAAUCUUCCGCAAUGGACGAAAGUCUGACGGAGCAACGCCGCGUGAGCGAAGAAGGCCUUCGGGUCGUAAAGCUCUGUUGUUAGGGAAGAACAAGUAACGCAGUAACUGGCGUUACCGUGACGGUACCUAACGAGAAAGCCACGGCUAACUACGUG
This 498-nucleotide ribosomal RNA is filed under the name uncultured bacterium. RNAcentral's name for it is "partial 16S ribosomal RNA". It matches the Rfam family "Bacterial small subunit ribosomal RNA", at positions 28 to 507 of the family's 1533-position model. The record is from RNAcentral.